GACGAACCGUGCGAACGUUAUUCGGAAUCACUGGGCUUAAAGCGCGUGUAGGUGGGGCGGCACGUCGGCCGUUGAAAGCCCCCGGCUUAACCGGGGAAGCGGCGCCGAUACGACCGCCCUCGAGGGACGUAGGGGGAGCUGGAACUUCCGGUGGAGCGGUGAAAUGCGUAGAGAUCGGAAAGAACACCAACGGCGAAAGCACUCUGCUGGGCCGACACUGGCACUGAGAGACGAAAGCUAGGGGAGCGAAUGGG
Molecule: ribosomal RNA, 254 nt
Filed under: uncultured bacterium
Lineage: Bacteria
Description: partial 16S ribosomal RNA
Rfam family: Bacterial small subunit ribosomal RNA
Source: RNAcentral